This 503-nucleotide ribosomal RNA is filed under the name uncultured soil bacterium. Its description in RNAcentral is "bacterial SSU rRNA". It matches the Rfam family "Bacterial small subunit ribosomal RNA", at positions 8 to 524 of the family's 1533-position model. The record is from RNAcentral.
AGAGUUUGAUCCUGGCUCAGGACGAACGCUGGCGGCGUGCUUAACACAUGCAAGUCGAACGGUAAGGUCCCUUGGGGGGAACACGAGUGGGGAAAGGGUGAGUAACACGUGAGCAACCUGCCCUUGACUCCCGGAUAACAGUUGGAAACAGCUGCUAAUACCGGAUACGACCUUCGAUGAAUCAUCUGGAGGUGGAAAGCGCUUUAUCGGACAAGGAUGGGCUCGCGGCCUAUCAUCUUGUUGGUGAGGUAACGGCUCACCAAGGCUUCGACGGGUAGUCGGCCUGAGAGGGCGACCGGGCCCACUGGGACUGAGAUACGGCCCAGACUCCUACUGGAGGCAGCAGUGGGGAAUAUUGCACAAUGGGCGCAAGCCUGAUGCAGCAACGCCGCGUGCGGGAUGACUGCCUUCGGGUUGUAAACCGCUUUCACUUCCGACGAAGCGCAAGAGACGGUAGGAACAGAAGAAGGCCCGGCCAAAUACGUGCCAGCAGCCGCGGUAAU